AGAAAGACGGACCUUCCGGGUUGGUAAACUGCUUUUCUUGUGGACGAGCAAGGACGGUACCACAGGAAUCAGCCCCGGCUAACUACGUGC
Molecule: ribosomal RNA, 90 nt
Filed under: uncultured bacterium
Lineage: Bacteria
Description: partial 16S ribosomal RNA
Source: RNAcentral